GUGGACUGUCAGCCACUCAGUUUUCCUUCCCUUGUCCUUUCUCUCCCACUUGGUAGCUGAACUGGGGAUUCUGCCCGGAGGAAAACCCUGAACAUGAAGCGUUACUAGACUGGCAGGCAGUCUGCCUGUCCUAACGUGAGUGGGGAGACUCCUGGGUCGCCCUAAGCCAGGCGCUAGGUUUGCCAAAGUGAUUCUGGCGUGUUCAGUUCUGCGGGUCGCCACUCGUCAUCGGCCUCCCUUGCCCUCGCGCGUGCAGUCCGUGUUCCACCAUCACAGAGGGACCUGCUGAGCUUCACGGAGCACGUGGAGCCGAUUUCAGACGGGCUAUGGGGGAACCAACCAUGACUGGAUGGAAUGAGGGCUUAUUUCCCCUUCUUCCUCUGACCAGGCAUAUACUGAAUAUUUUUAAGCGUGGACCUAUGAACGUGCACUAUUGAUCUGCCAGGGCAUGGCAGCUCUAGAAGUGGAGGAGGGCCGUGGACGAGCUCGCCUAACACUCUUGUUCUGGGGAGCCUGGGAGGAUAGAUUCCAUUCUGCAAGCAGGAGGCCGGGGAGUUCGCUCAUGGUGCAGGAGACAGCAGGUCAUUUACACUGUGUUUGCGAUCAGGGGUCACAGAGAGGGGCCAGGAGUUGAAUUCCAAGAAUGGCACAGAAUCCAGCUCUCUGCGAAGGAAAUUCAGGGUUUGGACAACUCCCAAAGAGCAAUAAUUCAACCGGACUAACCCGAUGAACUGUUUUUAAAUGAGUUUGGAGAAAUAUAGUCAAACAUUGAACAGCUUCCUAGAACUGAAGCGCCUGGGCAAAGGCUGCCCCUGAAUUCCUCUGCUUCUAUUCGCUUCCAUGCUGUGGACAAGGCUGUAGACGUCCAGGACCAGUCAGGGAGAGAUGGACCCCGUGACCGCUUCCCUGAAAGUGGCCUUUGACUGCUCUGGAACACAUGAGCCCCUGCCUCGCCCCUGGCACCUGAACUAGGUGACUACUUGCCAGGGCCCAACCCAGUCCAAAGGGAUUUGGGAUUCAGUGUCCCAAAGAGGCACUGAUUAGCUGGCAAGCAGGCAGCGAUUAGCAGGCCGGGUCACCUGCAGUUCAGUGCCCAUUGUUCCCUGCAAAGUCCUGGGAUGUUUGCCAUGAGGUCGCAGAGUGCGAACAUCUGAGGAUCCCGGGGCCUGCGGCUCUGCUGUGCUGAGCGGUGAUGAGGAAAAAAAAAGACCCUGUUCCGCUGAGCCCACCCCCCAGGAGGCAGUGCCAAGAAGCCCCUCUGUGUAUUCACCCAUGAAGCCAGCUUGAGAGCCCAGCACUGAUGGGGAGAAGAGGCCCCGAGGAUACACUGAAGAACCAGAAGCAAUGAGCGAACUCUUCUUCACACCUGAUGUGGAGAAUGCGAGCAGUGAAGCUGGGCAGAACUGGGCCUGGACUGGGAUUCUGCUGCGGCCUUGAUAUGUGACCUUGGACAAGAUACUUAACCUCUGAGUGCUGCUUUACCUCGGUUUUUAAGAAGGUCAAUAAUAACGCUUGUUGAUUAUGAUUGUUUGGGGUUUAAGUGAAAAGAAACAGUGAAGCAGUUACUGUCGCCUCUAGGACAGAGAAAGCAUCCAGAAGUGCUAUCACCAUUACCAUACUGUGUAGCAGAAAUGUCAUCAUUUGAAACGCUGUAAUCAUCCCUUCUUCACAGACCACCAUAGGAUGGGAGGGAUGACUCUUGUAAAGCAUUCAACACGGCUGGGCACAUAAGGAGGAGCCCCCGACGCGAGACAGAACUAACAACGAGAACUAUUGUUACUAUUUGCUCAAAGAUGGUUGCAAAAGAGUAUUUUUGCAGCAUGUUUCACCACACUGCAGCAUAUAAUCACGAACACUUAGACGGAGCCUACUUUUGAAUUAGAAGGGGAUUAAUGAAAUGAUUCACGGUACAUUCACCCCAUCAAGUCCCAUUCGGCCAGGUAAUCCCCACACCCUCAGAUGACUGGAGGUCUUGCUAAAACGCACAUUCUCGUUUACUGGAUCUGGGGUGAGGCCCACGAGCCAGCAUUUCUAAUGAAUUCUCAAGUGAUUCCAGAACUAGGGUUCGUGGACCAUACACACUUUCAUAAGAAAGAGAUGUAUGUGUUUAUGUAUUUCUAUAGCAGUAGAGAAAAAAUUCCUAGACU
This is a long non-coding RNA of Bos taurus (domestic cattle), 2147 nucleotides long. Lineage: Eukaryota; Metazoa; Chordata; Mammalia; Artiodactyla; Bovidae. The record is from Ensembl.